This 526-nucleotide ribosomal RNA is filed under the name uncultured bacterium. RNAcentral describes it as "bacterial SSU rRNA". It matches the Rfam family "Bacterial small subunit ribosomal RNA", at positions 8 to 527 of the family's 1533-position model. The record is from RNAcentral.
AGAGUUUGAUCCUGGCUCAGGAUGAACGCUAGCGGCAGGCUUAAUACAUGCAAGUCGAGGGGCAGCACAGUGUAGCAAUACAUGGGUGGCGACCGGCAAACGGGUGCGGAACACGUACGCAACCUUCCCAGAACUGGUGAAUAGCCUUUCGAAAGAGAGAUUAAUACACCGUAACUUAAUGAAGUGGCAUCACUUUAUUAAUAUAGUUCCGACGGUUCUGGAUGGGCGUGCGCCUGAUUAGGUAGUUGGCGGGGUAACGGCCCACCAAGCCUACGAUCAGUAACUGGUGUGAGAGCACGACCAGUCACACGGGCACUGAGACACGGGCCCGACUCCUACGGGAGGCAGCAGUAAGGAAUAUUGGUCAAUGGACGCAAGUCUGAACCAGCCAUGCCGCGUGGAGGAUGAAGGCCCUCUGGGUUGUAAACUUCUUUUAUCGAAGAAGAAACCCUAGCAUUCUUGCUGGGUUGACGGUACUCGAUGAAUAAGCUCCGGCUAACUUCGUGCCAGCCGCCGCGGUAAUUCA